AUCUAGCUGACGAGUCCCAAGUAGGACGAAGAGCGCGUCCUUUAU
Molecule: non-coding RNA, 45 nt
Organism: Schistosoma margrebowiei
Lineage: Eukaryota; Metazoa; Platyhelminthes; Trematoda; Strigeidida; Schistosomatidae
Source: Rfam